AAUGAACGCUAGCGGUGUGCCUAAUGCAUGCAAGUCGAACGGGAUCCUUUGGAUUCGUCUGAAGGUGAGAGUGGCGAACGGGUGAGUAACACGUAGGUGACCUGCCCCGGAGAGGGGGACAACCACUGGAAACGGUGGCUAAUACCCCAGAUGUUACUGCGCUUAGAAAGCAAUUACUAAAGUUCCGGCGCUCCGGGAGGGGCCUGCGGCCCAUCAGCUUGUUGGUAAGGUAAUGGCUUACCAAGGCUAAGACGGGUAGGGGGCGUGAGAGCGUGACCCCCCACACUGGUACUGAGACACGGACCAGAUACCUGCGGGUAGCAGCAGCAAGGAAUAUUGCCCAAUGGACGAAAGUCUGAGGCAGCAACACCGCGUGGAGGAUGGAAGGCCUU
Molecule: ribosomal RNA, 392 nt
Filed under: uncultured bacterium
Lineage: Bacteria
Description: bacterial SSU rRNA
Rfam family: Bacterial small subunit ribosomal RNA
Source: RNAcentral